AAUCAUGGCUCAGGACGAACGCUGGCGGCGUGCCUAACACAUGCAAGUCGAGCGGAGACAGUGAGUAGCUUGCUAUGAGCUGUUUUAGCGGCGGACGGGUGAGUAACGCGUGAGCAACCUUUCCCAGACAGGGGAAUAACACACCGAAAGGUGUACUAAUACCGCAUAAGACCACAGGAUCACAUGGUUCUGGGGUAAAAGAUUUAUCGGUUUGGGGUGGGCUCGCGUCCGAUUAGGUAGUUGGUGAGGUAACGG
RNAcentral lists this ribosomal RNA (255 nucleotides) under uncultured bacterium. RNAcentral describes it as "partial 16S ribosomal RNA". It matches the Rfam family "Bacterial small subunit ribosomal RNA", at positions 15 to 263 of the family's 1533-position model. The record is from RNAcentral.